UACGGAGGGUGCGAGCGUUGUCCGGAAUCACUGGGCGUAAAGGGCGCGUAGGCGGCCUGAUAAGUAGGGGGUGAAAUCCUGAGGCUUAACCUCAGGGCUGCCUUCUAAACUGUCGGGCUCGAGCACAGUAGAGGCAGGUGGAAUUCCCGGUGUAGCGGUGGAAUGCGUAGAGAUCGGGAAGAACAUCAGUGGCGAAGGCGGAUCUCUGGGCCAUUACUGACGCUGAGGAGCGAAAGCGUGGGGAGCGAACAGG
This 253-nucleotide ribosomal RNA is filed under the name uncultured bacterium. RNAcentral's name for it is "partial 16S ribosomal RNA". It matches the Rfam family "Bacterial small subunit ribosomal RNA", at positions 524 to 776 of the family's 1533-position model. The record is from RNAcentral.